GACGAACGCUGGCGGCGUGCUUAACACAUGCAAGUCGAGCGGUAAGGCCCUUCGGGGUACACGCGCGGCGAACGGGUGAGUAACACGGGAGUAAUCUGCCCAUCACUUCGGGAUAACUCCGGGAAACCGGGGCUAAUACCCAAUAUGACCACUUCAGGCAUCUGAUGGUGGUGGAAAGUUCCGGCGGUGAUGGAUGAGCUCGCGGCCUAUCAGCUUGUUGGGGGGGUAGUGGCCUACCAAGACUUCGACGGAUAGCCGGCCUGAGAGGGUGAACGGCCACACUGGUACUGAGACACGGCCCAGACUCCUACGGGAGGCAGCAGUGGGGAAUAUUGGACAAUGGGCGAAAGCCUGAUCCAGCAACGCCGCGUGAGGGAUGACGGCCUUCGGGUUGUAAACCUCUUUCAGCAGGGACGAAGCGCAAGUGACGGUACCUGCAGAAGAAGCACCGGCCAACUACGUG
RNAcentral lists this ribosomal RNA (463 nucleotides) under uncultured bacterium. RNAcentral describes it as "partial 16S ribosomal RNA". It matches the Rfam family "Bacterial small subunit ribosomal RNA", at positions 28 to 507 of the family's 1533-position model. The record is from RNAcentral.